This 271-nucleotide long non-coding RNA is filed under the name Lathyrus oleraceus (garden pea). RNAcentral describes it as "Pisum sativum (pea) long non-coding RNA (PSAT_LNC000687)". Lineage: Eukaryota; Viridiplantae; Streptophyta; Magnoliopsida; Fabales; Fabaceae. The record is from RNAcentral.
GGAGAUGCACGGAAGGUCUAAAAAUGGGGAAGCUCUGCCCUAGAGUUGUCAUGCAAUGUGAACCUAUGUGUUAGGAUUUACAAAUGAGAACAUCUACCUAAUGUUAGCAUGCAAAGAAAUAAGGGAAUUCUACCUAUGUUAUCAUGCAAAAGAAAGAGGGAAUACUACCUAUGUUAUCAUACAAAGAUUAAGGGAAUACUACCUAAUGGGUGCUACCUAAACGGAACAAGAAUCGACAAAUGGAGCAAGGAAAGGAACCAUGGGUAAGGGU